This 800-nucleotide non-coding RNA is filed under the name Trichomonas vaginalis G3. RNAcentral describes it as "Eukaryotic large subunit ribosomal RNA". It matches the Rfam family "Eukaryotic large subunit ribosomal RNA", at positions 1164 to 2164 of the family's 3401-position model. The record is from Rfam by way of RNAcentral. Lineage: Eukaryota; Parabasalia; Trichomonadida; Trichomonadidae.
UGAACCAUACGUCUGAAUAAGGUGCCGAAAUGUACUAUCACUGAUACCAUAAAGGGAGUCCAUGUAUUUAGACAGCAGGUCGGUGCCCCUAAAAGCAGGUAUCCGCUAAAGAGUGUGUUAAAACUCACCUGCCGAAUACUAGGGCCCCGAAAAUGAAUGGCGCAUAUAGUACUACCGAUCUCAGACAUCAGUUCUAUUGAACUGAGAGUAGGGGGAUGUGGACAUUUUUGUGAAGGUGCAAUGUGAGUUGGACUGGAAGAAUGUCUAUUACAGAUCCUAAUUGAAGUAGCGAUUAUCCAGGCUUGUAUCCUGGGGGCUGAUGAGGAGUAGGGUUUCUGGACAACUUAAACAGAUCCAGAGUUAGUCGAUCCUAAUCUCAAUAAUGGGAGAAAGGGAGUACAGUUGAUAUUCUGUAACUGACAACAGUUCGCGGCAACGCAUACUAUUUUUCUCCGCCAAUCUUAUACCGUUGGUAGGGAUCUCUUUCCUACAUGACAGUACUAAUACCCAGGGAAACUGGUCAUCAGGCGAAAUGCGGCGUUCUGCUGGCAAAACAUAGCUUCGGUUAUGUCAAUGGCUAUUGGAUUGGUCCAUGAAGCGAAAAAUAGUUUACUGUGUCACUCGUACCGAUAACCGCAUCAGGUCUUCUAGGUAAGUAGCCUAUGGCCAUUGAGGCAUGAUAGUUCAGGGAAUUCGGCCAAUUAGAGCUGUAACUUCGGGAUAAAGCUUGGCUCUGAUGAAAAUCAGAACCGAUUGUUACGCGGAGAGCCCAACUGUUUAAUAAAAACGUAGUGUCGCGC